AUGCUCUGGUUUCUCUUCAUAACGAAUAAGUCUUUCGCCUUUUACUAAAGAUUUCCGUGGAGAGAAACAAUUGAGUUUACCACCAAAUUUUUUGAUGUCCUGCUUAGGCAGGGCU
This 115-nucleotide small nuclear RNA is filed under the name Theropithecus gelada (gelada). RNAcentral's name for it is "U5 spliceosomal RNA (ENSTGEG00000028211.1)". It matches the Rfam family "U5 spliceosomal RNA". Rfam says of the family: U5 RNA is a component of both types of known spliceosome. The precise function of this molecule is unknown, though it is known that the 5' loop is required for splice site selection and p220 binding, and that both the 3' stem-loop and the Sm site are important for Sm protein binding and cap methylation. Lineage: Eukaryota; Metazoa; Chordata; Mammalia; Primates; Cercopithecidae. The record is from Rfam by way of RNAcentral.